CCUACGGGUGGCUGCAGUAGGGAAUCUUCCGCAAUGGACGAAAGUCUGACGGAGCAACGCCGCGUGAGUGAAGAAGGUUUUCGGAUCGUAAAACUCUGUUGUCAGAGAAGAACAAGUUGGAGAGUAACUGCUCCAGCCUUGACGGUAUCUGACCAGAAAGCCACGGCUAACUACGUGCCAGCAGCCGCGGUAAUACGUAGGUGGCAUGCGUUGUCCGGAUCUAGCGGGGGCGGAUCGUGCGGACGGAUGUGAAAGCCCACGGCUCAACCGUGGAAGGUCAUUGGAAACUGGGGAACUUGAGUGCAGAAGAGGAGAGUGGAAUUCCAUGUGUAGCGGUGAAAUGCGUAGAUAUAUGGAGGAACACCAGUGGCGAAGGCGACUCUCUGGUCUGUAACUGACGCUGAGGCUCGAAAGCGUGGGGAGCAAACAGGAUUAGAUACCCCAGUAGUC
This 450-nucleotide ribosomal RNA is filed under the name uncultured bacterium. RNAcentral describes it as "partial 16S ribosomal RNA". It matches the Rfam family "Bacterial small subunit ribosomal RNA", at positions 338 to 795 of the family's 1533-position model. The record is from RNAcentral.